Molecule: ribosomal RNA, 403 nt
Filed under: uncultured bacterium
Lineage: Bacteria
Description: bacterial SSU rRNA
Rfam family: Bacterial small subunit ribosomal RNA
Source: RNAcentral
UAGGGAAUAUUAGAAAUGGACGCAAGUCUGAUCUAGCAACACCGCGUGUGCGAAGAAGGCCUUUGGGUCGUAAAGCACUUUUUGGAAGGAAUAGGAAGGAAUGUACUUCCAGAAUAAGUCUCGGCUAACUACGUGCCAGCAGCCGCGGUAACACGUAGGAGGCAAACGUUAUCCGGAUUUACUGGGCGUAAAGCGCGUGUAGGUGGUACUGUAAGUAGGGCGUGAAAGCUCCUGGCUCAACUGGGAGAGGCCGUUCUAAACUACAGAACUAGAGGAUGGUAGAGGGAGGUGGAAUUCCAGGUGUAGCGGUGGGAUGCGCAGAUAUCUGGAGGAACACCGGUGGCGAAGGCGGCCUCCUGGACCAUUCCUGACACUCAGACGCGAAAGCUAGGGUAGCAAACGG